RNAcentral lists this ribosomal RNA (437 nucleotides) under uncultured bacterium. Its description in RNAcentral is "bacterial SSU rRNA". It matches the Rfam family "Bacterial small subunit ribosomal RNA", at positions 339 to 793 of the family's 1533-position model. The record is from RNAcentral.
GUACGGGAGGCAGCAGUGAGGAAUCUUGCACAAUGGGGGAAACCCUGAUGCAGCGACGCCGCGUGAGCGAUGAAGCCCUUCGGGGUGUAAAGCUCUUUCGGCAGGGAAGAUUAUGACGGUACCUGCAGAAGCAGCUGCGGCUAACUACGUGCCAGCAGCCGCGGUAAUACGUAGGCAGCAAGCGUUGUUCGGAGUUACUGGGCGUAAAGGGUGUGUAGGCGGCCUGUUAAGUUCCGUGUGAAAUCUCCCGGCUCAACCGGGAGGGUGCGCGGAAAACUGGGGGGCUAGAGCACGGGAUGGGAGAGUAGAAUUCCUGGUGUAGCGGUGAAAUGCGUAGAUAUCAGGAGGAAUACCGGUGGUGUAGACGGCUCUCUGGACCGUAACUGACGCUGAGACACGAAAGCGUGGGUAGCAAACAGGAUUAGAUACCCCAGUAU